Long non-coding RNA from Magnolia sinica, 1484 nucleotides. RefSeq lists it as uncharacterized. The record is from RefSeq and is a predicted model, not a curated record. The transcript is spliced from 6 exons. NCBI's taxonomy places the organism in Eukaryota, Viridiplantae, Streptophyta, Magnoliopsida, Magnoliales, Magnoliaceae.
UAAACUAGCAAAACAUGGGUUGCAGUUAUCAGAUAUAAUUGGCCAUUUCAUUCAUUGUACCAUGGAUUUCUUGUUAUAUAGGUUGCAGCGAAUUGGGAAAUUUCUAGUUAAAUUUCUAGUUGGGAAAUUUCCAGUUAAAUCUUCACAUUGAAAUAAAAAGAGAGUUAGAGUGAUUCAUGAAAAAACCCAAUGUUACAAAUUAACAAUUCUAACCUCUCAUUCAUGGACACUUGUUUGUUGAAAUAAGACCAUUCGAUAUCUUCAACUUUCAGCCAUCCAAUAAAUAUCCUCAAAUCCAAUAGUCAGUUGAAUACAUAAGACCAUUCUAAUGAAUGAUUUUUCAGUACUAACAUUUCUGCAAAGACAAUCACAUUAUAGAACUGUUUUGUCUGGUGAAACUAUAUAAAUUUACAGAUAGAUUGGAUAAAUUAAAGAGAAACUAUACUCACAAGUCCUCUUAUAGGUGGAUUCUCAUUAAAUGAUUGUUGAGUGGAAUACGUGCAGUGAGCGUUUAUUCUUGCUUUUCAGGAUUUCUUAUUGCCUAAUGUAUAAUGAUCUUUUGUAUGAGGACAGGUCUCAGCAGAAACGAUGAUUGGUCUUAGUGAAAGCAGUAAAUGUGCACAAAUUUCCAAGCAAAACUUGGAAAGCUUAAAGAUCAUCUCAGACAACUGGAGGAUGAAUUUGUUAAGUCUCUAGCAGACCUGUAAAGCGGCCGGGCGUAUUGCUACUAGUGAAUCUCUUUCUGCUGCAAAAGCAAGAACUGAAGAACUUAAGAAAAUUGUGCAAGAUCAACCGUCCAGGAGGGAUGAAUAUUCAGCAAUCAUAUCUCAACAACUUAAGAAACUUGUUGAUGUAGGCUCAUUGUAUAAAAGGUGCAAGUAGUAGUAGUAGUAAGACUUCAGAGGCUAUUUUUGCUUUGAACUCUUCAUGUAGAUGGGCAUUAACUACCACACCCAUUCAAAAUUGUUUAAAAGAGCUCAAGACAUUGGUUAGUACACUUAAAGCUUUCAUUCCAUUGGAAAGCAAAAUUUGGUUUCUAGUCUGAUAUGUAAUUUUUUUAAAAUUUUUUUCAUACCAGAUUGAGUUCCUACGAAUAUUUCCUUUCUCAUGGACCUUCUGUAAGGAUUGUGAUUGCAUACUAUCUGAGAGGUAACAGAAGCAUCAGCCUAUCCAAGCUGUGCAUAUUCAUCAAUGGACUCGGAUUGGGGUUGGAAUUGGAAUUACAUUACUGUCAAGCAUAAUUCAAAAGCCUAUUUUACUUGUUAAGAAAUGAGAAGAUCAGUUCAUGUGCUUUAAGCUUUCAGAUCAAAGCGAAGCUGAGAAUAGGGUGUUAGUUGAUGGCAAAUUGAUAACCAGUAGAGGCACAUCCAUGGAGUUUUCGCUUGCGAUUGUUGAGAAGCUAUUUGGCUGCGAGAAGGUAUUGGAUCUUGCUGCCAAUGAAAACUUUAAAUAGACAUAUAACUAUUAUGUUGGCAUUGUACUUU